UACUGAGGAUGCGAGCGUUAUCCGGAUUUAUUGGGUUUAAAGGGUGCGUAGGCGGCUUUUUAAGUCAGCGGUGAAAUUUUGCAGCUUAACUGUAACAGUGCCGUUGAUACUGGGGAGCUAGGAUUUGGUUGCUGUGGGUGGAAUGUGUGGUGUAGCGGUGAAAUGCUUAGAGAUCACACAGAACAUCGAUUGCGAAGGCAGCUCACAAAGCCAAGAUUGACGCUGAGGUACGAAAGUGUGGGGAUCAAACAGGAUUA
This 257-nucleotide ribosomal RNA is filed under the name uncultured prokaryote. Its description in RNAcentral is "partial 16S ribosomal RNA". It matches the Rfam family "Bacterial small subunit ribosomal RNA", at positions 524 to 780 of the family's 1533-position model. The record is from RNAcentral.